This is a non-coding RNA of Odocoileus virginianus texanus, 3783 nucleotides long. Lineage: Eukaryota; Metazoa; Chordata; Mammalia; Artiodactyla; Cervidae. The record is from RefSeq and is a predicted model, not a curated record.
UGGCAUGCAGGGCAAACUGUCUGGAUUUAUCAGUUGGCUCUAGAUUUACCGUCUUAAUUAGCCAGCUCUCCUUUGAGACCUCAGAGGCAAUAAUAGAUCAAGUGGCCGAAAAAGAUAUGUUUUUCCUGCUUCUGUGACCUUCUCGCCAGUGCUGACUUAAGAGAUGAUGAUAUAAUCAGAUGGGAGAGGAUUUUGAGUAACUGGGAAGAGAGAAAGCCCUGUUCGCAGAGAGCUCUAACUCAGGAAAAGCCAGGAGAAGAUGCUUCUAAAAUGGGGAAACCACUGGAGAUGUCUUUGGCCACACCGCUCUCUAUUCUGCCAGUAAAGACAUCUGUCUCCACUUCUGCCCUCUCCAGAAAUGUCUUGGCUCAAGAGAUCUUCAUAGUAAAUCAAACCAGGAAAAAUAUUGUCAGACAGACAUAACAGAGAAGGAAAGGACAACCACAGAGGUGUUUUGAAUUUGCCACAAAUUCAAAGCCAUAAAUGAGAAAGCAACUAAGGGAUAUACUCUAACAAAAUUAGAUAGAAAUUCAAGAAAAUGAAAGAUGAAGAUUCAGAAAAGUGGGAAAAGGGGGUGGAGGGGCUUCCUGGAAUGGUGACAAAGGUAUGUCCCAGCUGACAGCAUGUCUUCAAACCUGGAGAUGGAGCAGAUGAAUGCAGACUUGAGUAGUGAUGUCUCCUGAAAAAGGUUUGAAAUGAUAGUUUAUCUGAUGGAUUUAAACACAUGGAAAUAAUGUUAAGAGAUAUCUGUAAGAUAUCUCUUACAGAGCUCUUGAUACUUAUGGGGAAGGUUAGCCACAGUUCAAAGUGGAAAAGAAAAAAACUUAAGCAAAUGAAAAAUAAUGAGGCAAGCUUUGACUCCAGGAAAAACAAAAAGAUGUACAAGAAAGAAAAUAUAACAUUCCCUGAUUAAGAAGUUAGCACUAUUUACGUCAAGAUAAUAAUAAAAACACCUGUGACACACACUAUUGAUUCUCUUGCUAGUGCCUACAUUCCUUUCUUCCUCAUAUCCAAACCUCAAUUUUGUUCAAGCAACAAUGUGCUUAUCUAGAAGUACUUGUAAUUCUAGAUUGCCUCACAGUUGAAGGUUUGCGACAUGCCUGCUGAUGAGAAAGGUUCCUAGGAAACUUUUUCUUCUUUCUCCCCUAGCUUCCUUCUUCCUUCCUUCUUCUCCUUCCCUGAAACAUGGGUGCAACAUCAGAGGGGCAGCAGCUGUCUUGUGACCAUGAGGACCAAAGUGCAAGCCUAAAAUGGGAGAGUAGAGAAAUAAAAAGAGCCUAGGCCCCUAAAGAAAUCAUAAAACGGUCACAUCAGCUUUUGACUGCCUGAAUGUUAGUGUUAGGUGUGCUUUCUAUUUCUUUCAGCCAGGUGCUUUCCUAGCUAAUAUAAUACUGGAUAUGGACAAAUCUACAAACUGUGAUAUAACUACAUCAGAAGAAUGAGAGCAGGGUAAGAUGGGUAUGAAAGAAACCCUUUGCUAGCAUUUUAAGGAGCUAAUAUUAUCGAUCAGCUGAAGUCUGUUUAUGUCCGUUAAUUUUAGCAUAUUUCUUACAUAUAAGAAACAGCCAAAAAAGCUGAAAAAUGUUGCGUUUAGAAUAUUGGAUGGGGUGGGGGAUAAGGAACUGACAUAUUUGUAAUCUCCUUUUAGAAUUAAAAAAAAAAUUGAACUGUGCCCAUGUUCAACUUUUUGAUUAAAACAUUAAAAUUAAUUGAAAGGUAAAACAAAAAGCUUUAUCUGUCUUCUACUGUAGAUUUUUACUUUGUCUUCUAUGAAUAUGCUUGCUUCCAUUUUCCAUAUUUUUCCCUUUUUAAUAUUCCAGGCAUGUCUUUUCCCCAUGCUUUUAUCUUAGUCUAUUUGGAUCAUUUUAUUUUAGGUGUGUAAAUUGUAGACAGUACAUACUCAGCUUUGGGGUUUUGACCCCAUUGGUCUUGUCUUUUAAUAGAAAAGCUUGAUCCAUUUGCUUUUAUUGAUACACCUCCUACGUUUGAUCUUUGUUCUGUCAUCUUUUUCUAUGCUUUCCACCUUUUCAUGUUUUCUUUGCUUUCUGGCUUGAUAAAUGGAUUUAGCGUUUUGAGAGAUGUAUUUCGUUUUAAGCUCUACUGAUUUUUAUCUUUAAGGUUUUUCAAAAAUACAUUUCAAAGGCAUUUAUUAAACCAUGUUUCCUUAACAGUCUGAACCAGGACUGAAACCUUAAUUCCUUCAGUUACUUUGUUUGAAACAGUACAUAGAACUUUCCUGCCUCCUAUUCUGCUUUUCUCUUCUUUUUCUUUUCUUCUCCCUUAUGAUCUACUUUCAUUUUCUUUUCACAACAUGUUUGAGAUUUUUACAUUCUGUUGACUCAUUCAUAUUUUUAUUCAUGUAGCAAAUCAUGCUCCAUAUAUUGUACUAGAUAAUAAACUUAGCGAUAGAAUACAAUUCUUGCCCCCCAGGCACUUGAAGGUGACUAGGGAAGCGAUGGUAGUCCAGGAAAGCAGAAGAGCAGAGGUGUGCCCAGGUCAUAGGGGAGAAACUAGGAGAGGCUUGCAACCUGGACCAGCUUCUCAGGGAAGACUUCCUGGUGGAGGGAGCACGUGAACUGAAUCUUUCUAGCAGAAGGAACAGCAUAUGGAAAGACAGGGAAGUAAGAAGAUGCCUUGAAUAUAAACAGCUCAGGGUUGCACAAAAAUGGUGGCUGGUGAGAAAGGAAAGGGCCAGGGGUAGAGCGAAAGGUCCGCUCACAAGGUCAUAAAUGGCCUUGAAUGUCCCUCUCAAGAAGGAUACUACUGAAGAAUCCUAAGCAGGAUGUAAUAGGACAGGAUGAAGGUAGGAACAGGGAUGGAAGGUGGCAGGCCCUUUUUGAAGACAUUUAUAAUGAAGGUGAUUAAAAUAAAGAGCAAGUGAUGGAACAGGAGAUAAGAAUGUAUUCAAGAGACCUCAAGUCUGUGACAUCGGAGGGACAACAAGGAGGUCACCUCUCCACGUGCUACUCCAAACUCUCUGGUCCAAUUUUUCUCCAGCUCCAGGCAAAUCUCCAUUGGAGAUGGUGUAAGACUUUCCAGUUUCCACCAUGAAGAAUAUCAGCUUUGAGGUCGCAUUGGUCACGGUCCAAUGGUAUGAACGCGUUGUCUUCUGAGGAGUAGGAGAUUCAGGCAGAAAAUGGGAGAAGAGAGGUCACUUCAAGACCAAUUUAAUGAGACCAAUGAGGUUACAGAGAAACUAGGCUGGGGACUGGAGAUCCUCUUGGCUGAAAGGCGACAAGAAGAGGCCUGCUGUCUGGGGUGUGGAGGACAGAAGGCUGUGCCACUGGGGGAUCCAGUGACCCUCACCAUUUCAUGUGGCGAAGACGUGUGUUUCCCGAGCAGGAGUGCAGUAGGAAGCUCCAGACAGCUCGAAGACUGGGGCCCUGGAAAUAAGAUGGGAUGGGUAGACAGUCUGGAGUGGGUCCUGGGAGGAGGAGAUGGAAAACGUCACAAGUAGGAGAUGAGGCCAAGCUAAGGUACAGGGGGCAGGGCCACCUAGGGCUCUCUGAAACACCAACAGGACAUCCUCCACGAAAUAACCAACAGUGUUUUGGAAACUCGACACCCAGCAGAACCAAGAGCUACUGGCUACUUAGUGUUAGAGAGCAAACAGCAGCCAACAGAAAGAAUGAACUUAACCUCUGGACAGCCAGGGAGAAGAUGUUCCGCCCCUACCUCCCAGGGCCCUAGCAUCGGUUUGGUAUGUACCAUCUACCCUGUUCUAAGCCACUAGCAUCCAGUCUGGCCCCUAGAGCUGGGGGGAAGAACUAGGAGGUGGGCAAG